GACGAACGCUGGCGGCGUGCCUAAUACAUGCAAGUAGAACGCUGAAGAGAGGAGCUUGCUCUUCUUGGAAGAGUUGCGAACGGGUGAGUAACGCGUAGGUAACCUGCCUUGUAGCGGGGGAUAACUAUUAGAAACGAUAGCUAAUACCGCAUAACAAUGGGUGACCCAUGUCAUUCAUUUGAAAGGGGCAACUGCUCCACUACAAGAUGGACCUGCGUUGUAUUAGCUAGUAGGUGAGGUAACGGCUCACCUAGGCGACGAUACAUAGCCGACCUGAGAGGGUGAUCGGCCACACUGGGACUGAGACACGGCCCAGACUCCUACGGGAGGCAGCAGUAGGGAAUCUUCGGCAAUGGGGGCAACCCUGACCGAGCAACGCCGCGUGAGUGAAGAAGGUUUUCGGAUCGUAAAGCUCUGUUGUAAGUCAAGAACGAGUGUGAGAGUGGAAAGUUCACACUGUGACGGUAGCUUACCAGAAAGGGACGGCUAACUACGUGCCAGCAGCCGCGGUAAUACGUAGGUCCCGAGCGUUGUCCGGAUUUAUUGGGCGUAAAGCGAGCGCAGGCGGUUUGAUAAGUCUGAAGUUAAAGGCUGUGGCUCAACCAUAGUUCGCUUUGGAAACUGUCAAACUUGAGUGCAGAAGGGGAGAGUGGAAUUCCAUGUGUAGCGGUGAAAUGCGUAGAUAUAUGGAGGAACACCGGUGGCGAAAGCGGCUCUCUGGUCUGUAACUGACGCUGAGGCUCGAAAGCGUGGGGAGCGAACAGG
RNAcentral lists this ribosomal RNA (765 nucleotides) under uncultured Streptococcus sp. RNAcentral describes it as "bacterial SSU rRNA". It matches the Rfam family "Bacterial small subunit ribosomal RNA", at positions 28 to 776 of the family's 1533-position model. Lineage: Bacteria; Bacillati; Bacillota; Bacilli; Lactobacillales; Streptococcaceae. The record is from RNAcentral.